GACGAACGCUGGCGGCGUGCUUAACACAUGCAAGUCGAACGGAAAGGCCCUGCUUUUGUGGGGUGCUCGAGUGGCGAACGGGUGAGUAACACGUGAGUAACCUGCCCUUGACUUUGGGAUAACUUCAGGAAACUGGGGCUAAUACCGGAUAGGAGCUCCUGCUGCAUGGUGGGGGUUGGAAAGUUUCGGCGGUUGGGGAUGGACUCGCGGCUUAUCAGCUUGUUGGUGGGGUAGUGGCUUACCAAGGCUUUGACGGGUAGCCGGCCUGAGAGGGUGACCGGCCACAUUGGGACUGAGAUACGGACCAGACUCCUACGGGAGGCAGCAGUGGGGAAUAUUGCACAAUGGGCGGAAGCCUGAUGCAGAAACGCCGCGUGCGGGAUGACGGCCUUCGGGUUGUAAACCGCUUUCGGCUGUGACGAAGCGUGAGUGACGGUAAUGGGUAAAGAAGCACCGGCUAACUACGUG
RNAcentral lists this ribosomal RNA (468 nucleotides) under uncultured bacterium. Its description in RNAcentral is "partial 16S ribosomal RNA". It matches the Rfam family "Bacterial small subunit ribosomal RNA", at positions 28 to 507 of the family's 1533-position model. The record is from RNAcentral.